AUUGAACGCUGGCGGUAUGCUUAACACAUGCAAGUCGGACGGAAACGACAGGGAGCUUGCUCCUUGGGCGUCGAGUGGCGGAUGGGUGAGUAAUAUAUAGGAACCUUCCUCGUAGUUUAGGAUAACUGUCCGAAAGGAUGGCUAAUACUGAAUGUGAACUACGGUUUAAAGCAGGGGAUCUUCGGACCUUGUGCUAUGAGAUGGGCCUAUACAAGAUUAGCUAGUUGGUGAGGUAAAUGCUCACCAAGGCAACGAUCUUUAGCUGGUUUGAGAGGAUGAUCAGCCACACUGGGACUGAGACACGGCCCAGACUCCUACGGAAGCAGCAGUGGGGAAUAUUGGACAAUGGGGGCAACCCUGAUCCAGCAAUACCGCGUGUGUGAAGAAAGGCCCUAGGGUUGUAAAAGAACNCUUUUUGUUAGGAGAAUGGUAAAUUAGAGUUAAUACCUCUAGUUGCUGAUGUU
Molecule: ribosomal RNA, 464 nt
Filed under: uncultured Ignatzschineria sp.
Lineage: Bacteria; Pseudomonadati; Pseudomonadota; Gammaproteobacteria; Cardiobacteriales; Ignatzschineriaceae
Description: bacterial SSU rRNA
Rfam family: Bacterial small subunit ribosomal RNA
Source: RNAcentral